GAUGAACGCUGGCGGCGUGCCUAAUACAUGCAAGUCGAGCGAACAGACGAGGAGCUUGCUUCUCUGACGUUAGCGGCGGACGGGUGAGUACCACGUGGAUAACUUACCUAUAAGACUGGGAUAACUUCGGGAAACCGGAGCUAAUAUCGGAUAAUAUAUUGAACCGCAUGGUUCAAUAGUGAAAGACGGUUUUGCUGUCACUUAUAGAUGGAUCCGCGCCGCAUUAGCUAGUUGGUAAGGUAACGGCUUACCAAGGCAACGAUGCGUAGCCGACCUGAGAGGAUGAUCGGCCACACUGGAACUGAGACACGGUCCAGACUCCUACGGGAGGCAGCAGUAGGGAAUCUUCCGCAAUGGGCGAAAGCCUGACGGAGCAACGCCGCGUGAGUGAUGAAGGUCUUCGGAUCGUAAAACUCUGUUAUUAGGGAAGAACAAAAGUGUAAGUAACUAUGCACGUCUUGACGGUACCUAAUCAGAAAGCCACGGCUAACUACGUG
This 497-nucleotide ribosomal RNA is filed under the name uncultured bacterium. RNAcentral's name for it is "partial 16S ribosomal RNA". It matches the Rfam family "Bacterial small subunit ribosomal RNA", at positions 28 to 507 of the family's 1533-position model. The record is from RNAcentral.